GCGGGCGUGGCGGAACGGCAGACGCUGCAGCCUUAGGAGCUGUUGCUCGAAAGAGCGUGGGGGUUCGAAUCCCUCCGCCCGCA
This 83-nucleotide transfer RNA is filed under the name Actinomycetota bacterium. RNAcentral's name for it is "tRNA-Leu". It matches the Rfam family "tRNA". Rfam says of the family: Transfer RNA (tRNA) molecules are approximately 80 nucleotides in length. The record is from RNAcentral. Lineage: Bacteria; Bacillati; Actinomycetota.